GGGCCCGCACAAGCGGUGGAGCAUGUGGUUUAAUUCGAUGCAACGCGAAGAACCUUACCAGGGUUUGACAUAGUACGAAGUUUUUUGAAAAAAAACCACCUUCGGGAACGUACAUACAGGUGGUGCAUGGCUGUCGUCAGCUCGUGUCGUGAGAUGUUGGGUUAAGUCCCGCAACGAGCGUAACCCUUGUUUUUAGUUGCCUUUCGAGGAUAUUUAGAAAGACUGCCGAUUAUAAAUCGGAGGAAGGUAAGGACGACGUCAAGUCAUCAUGCCCCUUACACUCUGGGCUACACACGUGCUACAUUGGGUAGAACAAUAAGUUGCUAAGUUGCGAGGGGAGCCA
RNAcentral lists this ribosomal RNA (343 nucleotides) under uncultured bacterium. Its description in RNAcentral is "partial 16S ribosomal RNA". It matches the Rfam family "Bacterial small subunit ribosomal RNA", at positions 917 to 1270 of the family's 1533-position model. The record is from RNAcentral.